This 569-nucleotide long non-coding RNA is filed under the name Homo sapiens (human). RNAcentral's name for it is "HSALNT0379989". Lineage: Eukaryota; Metazoa; Chordata; Mammalia; Primates; Hominidae. The record is from RNAcentral.
ACUAACUAAUAGUAUACAUCAGGAAGUGAUAUCUUCUCCACUUUUACUGUUAAGUUUUUAUGAAGAGUUUGUGAUAGAUAUUUAUUAAUUAUUUUCAGGUUUGGAAUAGUUCACCAGUGAAGUCAUCUCAACCAGCACAGGGCCUUGACUCCUAACAACAAUCACACGAACUUGGAAGAGGAGCCUUCCCCACCUGAACCUUCACUUGAGACCUCGUCCUUGGCCAUCCUCUACAUCUGGAUUCAUGAUACAGAGAAACUUGAGUAAUGAUGACAAUAGCAGUCCAGUGUGCAUGGAUGCUGACGUGGAUGCUGUCUCCCAUUCUUACCACUGGAUGGGAAGAAAUGAUAGAUGCAAUCCAGCCAUUGUGUUCUCGACUCUCAGUUCCAUCUUCUCAACUGACAUUGUCUUCCAAAGUCCGUGCCACACCACAGCCUGGAACAUCUCCCAAAGUGGUAUCUUGAUGCAAUGGUAGAGCUCAUGUCACAGUAUUGUAUGUCUCAGGUAUCGCUGUCCUUCACUGUUUGAUAUAAUCUCUCUUACAAACCAUUGUUCCAUACACUUUGCCC